This 425-nucleotide ribosomal RNA is filed under the name uncultured bacterium. Its description in RNAcentral is "partial 16S ribosomal RNA". It matches the Rfam family "Bacterial small subunit ribosomal RNA", at positions 354 to 796 of the family's 1533-position model. The record is from RNAcentral.
GUGGGGAAUAUUGGACAAUGGGCGCAAGCCUGAUCCAGCCAUGCCGCGUGAGUGAUGAAGGCCUUAGGGUUGUAAAGCUCUUUCAGUGGGGACGAUAAUGACGGUACCCACAGAAGAAGCCCCGGCUAACUUCGUGCCAGCAGCCGCGGUAAUACGAAGGGGGCUAGCGUUGUUCGGAUUUACUGGGCGUAAAGCGCACGUAGGCGGGUCGUUAAGUCAGGGGUGAAAUCCUGGAGCUCAACUCCAGAACUGCCUUUGAUACUGGCGACCUAGAGUCCGGAAGAGGUGAGUGGAAAUCCUAGUGUAGAGGUGGAAUUCGUAGAUAUUAGGAAGAACACCAGUGGCGAAGGCGGCUCACUGGUCCGGUACUGACGCUGAGGUGCGAAAGCGUGGGGAGCAAACAGGAUUAGAAACCCGGGUAGUCC